GAUGAAGAACGCAGCGAAAUGCGAUAAGUAAUGUGAAUUGCAGAAUUCAGUGAAUCAUCGAAUCUUUGAACGCACAUUGCGCCCGCUAGUAUUCUGGCGGGCAUGCCUGUCCGAGCGUCAUUUCAACCCUCAAGCCCCCGGGCUUGGUGUUGGGGAUCGGCGAGCCUCCGCGCCCGCCGUCCCCUAAAUCUAGUGGCGGUCUCGCUGUAGCUUCCUCUGCGUAGUAGCACACCUCGCACUGGGAAACAGCGCGGCCACGCCGUUAAACCCCAACUUCUGAACGUUUGACCUCGGAUCAGGUAGGAAUACCCGCUGAACUUAAGCAUAUCAAUAAGCGGAGGA
RNAcentral lists this unclassified non-coding RNA (342 nucleotides) under soil metagenome. RNAcentral describes it as "partial contains 5.8S ribosomal RNA, internal transcribed spacer 2, and large subunit ribosomal RNA". The stretch from base 1 to 120 matches the Rfam family "5.8S ribosomal RNA", at positions 35 to 154 of the family's 154-position model. The record is from RNAcentral.